UACGUAGGGUGCGAGCGUUAAUCGGAAUUACUGGGCGUAAAGCGUGCGCAGGCGGUUCGUUGUGUCCUGUGUGAAAGCCCCGGGCUUAACCUGGGAAUGGCAUGGGAAACUGGCGGACUUGGAGUGUGGCAGAGGGGGGUGGAAUUCCGCGUGUAGCAGUGAAAUGCGUAGAGAUGCGGAGGAACACCGAUGGCGAAGGCAGCCCCCUGGGCCAACACUGACGCUCAGGCACGAAAGCGUGGGGAGCAAACAGG
RNAcentral lists this ribosomal RNA (254 nucleotides) under uncultured bacterium. Its description in RNAcentral is "partial 16S ribosomal RNA". It matches the Rfam family "Bacterial small subunit ribosomal RNA", at positions 524 to 776 of the family's 1533-position model. The record is from RNAcentral.